This 382-nucleotide ribosomal RNA is filed under the name uncultured eukaryote. RNAcentral describes it as "partial 18S ribosomal RNA". It matches the Rfam family "Eukaryotic small subunit ribosomal RNA", at positions 592 to 976 of the family's 1831-position model. The record is from RNAcentral.
CAAUAGCGUAUAUUAAAGUUGUUGCAGUUAAAAAGCUCGUAGUUGGAUUUCUGGUUGGAGCGACCGGUCGGGCAUUGAUUUGUCUGCACUGGAGUCGGUUCUGGCCAUCCUCUUGGAAAGUGCGUCUGUCAUUAAGUUGUCGGGCGUAUGAUCCAGGUCUUUUACUGUGAAAAAAUUAGAGUGUUUAAAGCAGGCCUUCGCCUUGAAUACAUUAGCAUGGAAUAAUAAGAUAGGACUUUGGUCUAUUUUGUUGGUUUGCAGACCGAAGUAAUGAUUAAUAGGGAUAGUUGGGGGUAUUUAUAUUCCAAUGUCAGAGGUGAAAUUCUUAGAUUUUUGGAAGAUAAGCUUAUGCGAAAGCAUUUACCAAGGAUGUUUUCAUUAA